Molecule: long non-coding RNA, 455 nt
Organism: Heterocephalus glaber (naked mole-rat)
Lineage: Eukaryota; Metazoa; Chordata; Mammalia; Rodentia; Bathyergidae
Source: Ensembl
CUGAAGACAAACCUAUAAGUGGGUCCUCGGAAAGCUUCAGUGGGGUCAGUGGCAGGCUGCAGUGACAGAAGCAGAAGGCCAUGGCCAGGAGAGGGUCCACCAUUCUCUCAUCUCUGCCCACUGCCCUUGAAGGAGAGCUCAGUGAAUCUGAACUCCUGCUCAUUACCAGAUAAAUAAUUCAGCUGCCACACUAAAUACUGGAGAGGAGCUGACGGGGAGGAAGAUAUCGUGAAACCUGGGCUGGGAAAACAAGCCUUUCUUAAGAAGCCAGCAAACCGUAGUACAGUCCUUAACUGCCUCCAUGGCAGGAACAGCAGGAUGGAAGGACCUGGGCAAAAGAUGGCUGCUCAUCCUAUAGCAGCUGGGAAGCAGAGAAAGAAAGAAGGAGUUCCACUGACUGAGCCUCCUGGCAUGGGAGGAAACAGCAGGCAUGGAGGAGAGGCACUCUGCAGGUG